This 255-nucleotide ribosomal RNA is filed under the name Staphylococcus aureus. Its description in RNAcentral is "partial 23S ribosomal RNA". It matches the Rfam family "Bacterial large subunit ribosomal RNA", at positions 2133 to 2387 of the family's 2925-position model. Lineage: Bacteria; Bacillati; Bacillota; Bacilli; Caryophanales; Staphylococcaceae. The record is from RNAcentral.
CUUGUACAGGAUAGGUAGGAGCCUUUGAAACGUGAGCGCUAGCUUACGUGGAGGCGCUGGUGGGAUACUACCCUAGCUGUGUUGGCUUUCUAACCCGCACCACUUAUCGUGGUGGGAGACAGUGUCAGGCGGGCAGUUUGACUGGGGCGGUCGCCUCCUAAAAGGUAACGGAGGCGCUCAAAGGUUCCCUCAGAAUGGUUGGAAAUCAUUCAUAGAGUGUAAAGGCAUAAGGGAGCUUGACUGCGAGACCUACAA